UGGGGAAUAUUGCACAAUGGGGGGAACCCUGAUGCAGCAACGCCGCGUGAGCGAUGAAGGUCUUCGGAUUGUAAAGCUCUGUCUUCGCUGACGAUAAUGACGGUAAGCGAGGAGGAAGCCACGGCUAACUACGUGCCAGCAGCCGCGGUAAUACGUAGGUGGCGAGCGUUGUCCGGAAUUACUGGGCGUAAAGGGUGCGUAGGCGGUUUUUUAAGUGGGAUGUGAAAUCCUGAGGCUUAACUUCAGAAUUGCAUUCCAAACUGGAAGGCUAGAGUACAGGAGAGGAAAGCGGAAUUCCCAGUGUAGCGGUGAAAUGCGUAGAGAUUGGGAGGAACACCAGUGGCGAAGGCGGCUUUCUGGACUGUAACUGACGCUGAGGCACGAAAGCGUGGGGAGCAAACAGG
This 404-nucleotide ribosomal RNA is filed under the name uncultured bacterium. Its description in RNAcentral is "bacterial SSU rRNA". It matches the Rfam family "Bacterial small subunit ribosomal RNA", at positions 355 to 776 of the family's 1533-position model. The record is from RNAcentral.